AGUGAACGCUGGCGGUAGGCCUAACACAUGCAAGUCGAACGGCAGCACAGUAAGAGCUUGCUCUUACGGGUGGCGAGUGGCGGACGGGUGAGGAAUACAUCGGAAUCUACUUUUUCGUGGGGGAUAACGUAGGGAAACUUACGCUAAUACCGCAUACGACCUACGGGUGAAAGCAGGGGAUCUUCGGACCUUGCGCGAUUGAAUGAGCCGAUGUCGGAUUAGCUAGUUGGCGGGGUAAAGGCCCACCAAGGCGACGAUCCGUAGCUGGUCUGAGAGGAUGAUCAGCCGCACUGGAACUGGGACACGGUCCAGGCUCCUACGGGAGGCAGCAGUGGGGAAUAUUGGACAAUGGGCGCAAGCCUGAUCCAGCCAUACCGCGUGGGUGAAGAAGGCCUUCGGGUUGUAAAGCCCUUUUGUUGGGAAAGAAAAGCAGCAGGUUAAUACCCCGCUGUUCUGACGGUACCCAAAGAAUAAGCACCGGCUAACUUCGUG
Molecule: ribosomal RNA, 492 nt
Filed under: uncultured bacterium
Lineage: Bacteria
Description: partial 16S ribosomal RNA
Rfam family: Bacterial small subunit ribosomal RNA
Source: RNAcentral